CUACGGGACGCGCCAGUGGGGAAUUUUGCGCAAUGGGGGAAACCCUGACGCAGCAAUACCGCGUGAGUGAAGAAGGCCUUUGGGUCGUAAAGCUCUUUUCUUGGGGAAGAUAGUGACGGUACCCAAGGAAUAAGCACCGGCUAACUCCGUGCCAGCAGCCGCGGUAAUACGGAGGGUGCAAGCGUUGUUCGGAUUUACUGGGCGUAAAGGGCACGUAGGCGGCACAGCAAGUUAAGGGUGAAAUCCCGGGGCUCAACUCCGGAACUGCUCUUAAAACUGCUGAGCUAGAGAUAGUCAGAGGCGGGUGGAAUUCCAGGUGUAGAGGUGAAAUUCGUAGAUAUCUGGAGGAACGCCGGUGGCGAAGGCGGCCCGCUGGGGCUAUUCUGACGCUAAGGUGCGAAAGCGUGGGGAGCAAACGGGAUUAGAUACCCGAGUAGUC
RNAcentral lists this ribosomal RNA (439 nucleotides) under uncultured bacterium. Its description in RNAcentral is "partial 16S ribosomal RNA". It matches the Rfam family "Bacterial small subunit ribosomal RNA", at positions 339 to 795 of the family's 1533-position model. The record is from RNAcentral.